This is a long non-coding RNA of Monomorium pharaonis (pharaoh ant), 728 nucleotides long. RefSeq lists it as uncharacterized. Lineage: Eukaryota; Metazoa; Arthropoda; Insecta; Hymenoptera; Formicidae. The transcript is spliced from 2 exons. The record is from RefSeq and is a predicted model, not a curated record.
UUUUCGCAGCGAAAAUGAUCAGACCUUACGUGUUUCUAUUGGUGAGUGCGCCAGUUAUAAAAUUAGAGAGCCUCUGAGAGUGCAUUCAGAUUUCUCAUCCGAGUGCCCUCAGAUGUCGUUUUAUCCUUGUUUAACAUUCAGUAAAUAACAAGGAUAAAAUAAUACCUGGAAAUAUUUGGGUGGGAAAUCUGAACACAGAGGGGGUGUUUACAAUAAUGGCUAUCUGAGUAAUUUUCUCUAGGACCAAAAUAUAUGAUAAGCACAACCAUCUACUAUCAUCAUGAUUCGUGACAACUCAAUGCUGUCCGGUAUAGCCAAAUCAUCACGAGCAAGUUGCGAGUUCCGUGAGUUUGUAGCAGUCUACAAUGAGUCGUUGGUCGUUGGUCGUAAGAAAUUUAAACAAUUAUGGGUUACACGACAUUAGUCCGAAAACUAGAUGGGGAAAAUGUUGGUACCAACAAAAUUCUCUAGACAUUUCAAUUUCAAUUUUUACAGGUUAGUAACAUUGUUUAAGUAGUAAAUCUACGAGUGUUCGGAGUUUCGGAGACGUUUUGACAUAUGCGCGCGCCAAAAUAAUAAAUAUUAAGUUAAAUUGUAACAUGUAAUUGAAAUUAAUGUUAAAAAAUUACAACUGAAUAUUAAGUACAUAGAGAUGAACAAGAAAAAAAAUGUUUUAUAUAUUUAUAUGUAAGAGAAGAAAUUUUAAUAAAAUAUAUUAAUAUAUUAAA